AAGGCUUUAGCUUAAUUAAAGUACCUGUUUUGCAUACAGGAGAUGUGGGGUAGUGUUCCGCAAGUCUUA
This 69-nucleotide transfer RNA is filed under the name Sebastes rubrivinctus (flag rockfish). RNAcentral's name for it is "tRNA-Ala". It matches the Rfam family "tRNA". Rfam says of the family: Transfer RNA (tRNA) molecules are approximately 80 nucleotides in length. Their secondary structure includes four short double-helical elements and three loops (D, anti-codon, and T loops). Further hydrogen bonds mediate the characteristic L-shaped molecular structure. tRNAs have two regions of fundamental functional importance: the anti-codon, which is responsible for specific mRNA codon recognition, and the 3' end, to which the tRNAs corresponding amino acid is attached (by aminoacyl-tRNA synthetases). tRNAs cope with the degeneracy of the genetic code in two manners: having more than one tRNA (with a specific anti-codon) for a particular amino acid; and 'wobble' base-pairing, i.e. permitting non-standard base-pairing at the 3rd anti-codon position. The record is from RNAcentral. RNAcentral also lists the same sequence under 1 other name. Lineage: Eukaryota; Metazoa; Chordata; Actinopteri; Perciformes; Sebastidae.